Molecule: transfer RNA, 75 nt
Filed under: bacterium
Lineage: Bacteria
Description: tRNA-Cys
Rfam family: tRNA
About the family: Transfer RNA (tRNA) molecules are approximately 80 nucleotides in length. Their secondary structure includes four short double-helical elements and three loops (D, anti-codon, and T loops).
Source: RNAcentral
GGCCUGGUAGGCAAGUGGUAAGCCGGGAGUCUGCAAAACUCCUAUGCGCGAGUUCGAUUCUCGCCCAGGCCUCCA